UCGCCGUGUGCGUACGACAGCUGAAGCCCGGCGAGCCGGGGCUGGAAGUCCGGGGCCGUGGGGUGGAAAUGAAACAGACUGUGACCUUUCCUUUUCCUGCCCGGCUUCCCCGCGUAAAAACCGCCCUGAAGCACACCCCGAGCGUCGUUUCCGAUCAGCGUUUCCCACCUCACCUCACCCCACCCUGGGCCGUACAUGUUACAUAGCUUGUUGCAGGGUUUUCGCUGUGAUUUCCCCUAAGGGAUUACUCAUUUCGGCAGCGAUCAGAACUCCCCGCCCUGGUGGAGGUUACAGUCCUUGCCACCCUCCCCCCCUCCCCCUCAUGUCCAAGCUCCUGAGAAAUUAUCUGGUUUUCCGUCAUCCAGCAAUUGCCUUUCAGAUUCGUUUCUGCGCCUUGGUCUAGGAACCCCGAGCUUCGACGAUGGCGCUAAAAGAAUUCAGGUGAUUUCAUUCCACGCUGCCCUGGUAGGCUGUGCAAGGAAGGCCAUGAUUUCUUUUCCCUGGUGAUCACAGCUCAUCAUUAUUACUCAUUGCAGAACAGGUAUGUCGGUCAUAGCUCUGGUUAGCGCUGGUUGGCGCAUUACAGCUGAUUCUCUUGUUUAUCGGUUCUGCUUUUUGUAUUUCAUGAAAAUUGAGAUAAUCCCUGGGGGGGGGGGCCUGGAGGAGGGAAGGCAGUAUAAUGGGAUUGGGUUCUGCCCACAGGGUUAGAAUUUCCCAUUACUUACUGGCUUUGCAACUUGAGCUAGUUAUUUAUACAACCUCUGUUUUCCUUCUGUAAAGCAGAAUGAUAGCUUCCAACUGGUUAGGGUGGUUGGAGAUUUCAAUUUGUUUCUUGUCAUACCAAGAAGUAACUCACUGAGACUAUGGGCCAGGUACUGUACAAGGUGGUGGUUUAUUUGAAUCACUCUUAAUAUUGGUUACGUUAUAGUGUAGAUAUAAAAUAUUGAGGGGCAUUAGCUACAUUAUUAAGCCCUUAUUAUCUACAAGGUAGAUUCCAUUAGUAAACUCUUAUUAUCUACAAGGUAGAGUCUAUUAGUAUGAGUUUGCACACUAGGAAAGAGGUUAAAUAACUAUCCCUCAGCCACUGGAGGUGGGCUGGGAUCUAAAGCCAGUAAAUCACAAGCUUAGGCUCCAGAGUGUAGGGGAUGGUAUGGGAAUAUGUUGGGGUGCUCAAAAUUUCCAUCUGUACCCCAUACAGAAAAUCAAAGCACUCUGCAAAUGUAUGAUCAAAACCAAGCCCUCCCCUUUCAGAUUGUGCCACUGAAUUCUUCUUUAUACAGAAGCUGUGGACCUGCCAUUGCCAGACCGUAACAAAUACCCAGUGCACAGUGUAGAGCCGAGUGUUGUGGGAUGCACAGGAAGAUAACAGUAAGUGUUGGUUAUUGUUAGUGUUGAUAUUGGUAUUUGUAUUGUAGCUGGCCAACACGUGAGAGUGCUUUGUAAAAGUGUGUAUGACAUAUAGAGCAUUCUUAUCACUGCAAUUACCACUAUCGUAAUAAAGUUCCGUUGAAGCAAUAA
Molecule: long non-coding RNA, 1518 nt
Organism: Perognathus longimembris pacificus (Pacific pocket mouse)
Lineage: Eukaryota; Metazoa; Chordata; Mammalia; Rodentia; Heteromyidae
Exons: 2
Source: RefSeq, a predicted model, not a curated record